GACGAACGCUGGCGGCGUGGAUUAGGCAUGCAAGUCGAACGGUAUCAUCCUUUCGGGGGUGAGAGAGUGGCGAACUGGUGAGUAACACGUAGGUUAUCUACCCUCAAGACGGGGACAACCCAGGGAAACUUGGGCUAAUACCGGAUGUGAGCAACUUUUUAGUUGUUUGAAAGGUGGCGUAAGCUGUCGCUUGGGGAUGAGCCUGCGUCCUAUUAGUUAGUUGGUGAGGUAACGGCUCACCUAGGCAAUGAUAGGUAGGCGGCCUUAACGGGUGGUCGCCCACACUGGGAUUGAGAUACGGCCCAGACUCCUACGGGAGGCAGCAGUCGAGAAUAGUCUACAAUGGCCGGAAGGCUGAUAGUGCGACGCCGCGUGAACGAGGGAGCCCUUCGGGGUGUAAAGUUCUUUUCUAUACGAGCAGUGCUAUAUAUAUGGAUAGUAUAUAUAGAGGGAUAGUAGUAUAGGAAUAAGCAACGGCUAACUCCGUGCCAGCAGCCGCGGUAAUCACGAG
This 511-nucleotide ribosomal RNA is filed under the name uncultured bacterium. Its description in RNAcentral is "bacterial SSU rRNA". It matches the Rfam family "Bacterial small subunit ribosomal RNA", at positions 28 to 529 of the family's 1533-position model. The record is from RNAcentral.